GUGAGCAGUCUACUGAGCAUAAUUUAUUAUGUUAGGAAAGUCCAUGCUACCACAAGCUGAAACGCUUGUAGUGUUCGUACUAGGUCCAAUAAACCUAGGCACCUUCGGGUGACGACUAGUGCCACAGAGACGAGCUGCUUAGGCAGGUGAAACGGGUAAACUCUGCGAGGUAGAAACCCAAAAUUGGUAGGGGAGUCCUGCGAAAGGGAAACAAACUAUAGCGGGAAACGAAAGUUAGAUAAAUAGUAGACGUAAUACAGAACAUGGCUUAUGUU
This 275-nucleotide RNase P RNA is filed under the name Mycoplasmataceae bacterium. RNAcentral describes it as "RNase P RNA component class B". It matches the Rfam family "Bacterial RNase P class B". Rfam says of the family: Ribonuclease P (RNase P) is a ubiquitous endoribonuclease, found in archaea, bacteria and eukarya as well as chloroplasts and mitochondria. Its best characterised activity is the generation of mature 5'-ends of tRNAs by cleaving the 5'-leader elements of precursor-tRNAs. Lineage: Bacteria; Bacillati; Mycoplasmatota; Mollicutes; Mycoplasmatales; Mycoplasmataceae. The record is from RNAcentral.